Myodes glareolus (Bank vole) is the source of this 2282-nucleotide non-coding RNA. Lineage: Eukaryota; Metazoa; Chordata; Mammalia; Rodentia; Cricetidae. The record is from RefSeq and is a predicted model, not a curated record.
UCUGACCUGGAGGAGAGGCCUCUCAGCCUGCAAAGCCAGGAAUCACUCCAAGGAAGGUUUCGCUGCGGGAAAUCAGGUUCAACGGCCAAGGGGAGCUCAGGGGGUCCUGGGUGAGGGGGCAGGAACCCUCAGCAAGAGAGGGCGAUUUCUUCAUCACAAAAGAUUUCUGUGACUAAUCGACUCAAGUAAAUUGGGAGUGGAUGGGAGGAAAGGCUCUCGCUAUGUAGCCCAGACCGGCCUGAAACUUCUGGGCGAUUCUCUUUCCUCUGAGUGCUGAGAUCACGGGUGUGUGCCACCAGGCCCAUUUCUCCUGUCUCUCUGAGCACAGUCGCUUCACAGGCACCCGGAACACCUAAGCAGUAUGAUCCUCAAGGCUCAGAAGGAAAGCAAAAGUGAAGGAUUAACAAUAGGCUAGUGAGAUGGCUUCACAGACGAAGGCACCUGCAGCCAGGCAUGAAACCCUGAGCUCCGUGUCUGGGUCUCACACAGGGGAAGGAGAGAACAGAUUCCUGCAGGUUAUCCUUUGGCCUCCACGCCCAUCGUGAGUCCCAAGUUUGGCUUGUGACUCUCCCCCCACCCCCUCAGCUUCGGUGUUCCUGGGCAAGAUCUUCUCGUCCUGGCUGGGCUGAAGCUGGACUUGGGCCAAAAUCAGCAGGAGCUCGAUUCCCUGACUUGGCUCCAUGUUUUCUUUCCUGAACUCUGUGCUUUGUACGUAGUGUUUUUCCAGCAGUUCAAAGGUGUCUGACCUUCUGGGCGUGAAGACAAGUGCACUAAAGACCCACACAGGGAAUGACUCACACGGGGGUGGAUCCUGAAGCCCAGGGGUCCCUGCUCUGCUUGUAGAUAGAAUGAAUUGGGAUAUUUCUAGGAGAAGGAGGCUUAAAGUCUCUCCCUCUCUCUCACUGCUCUCAAGCUGGCCACAAACUUGGUGUGUACUUGAGGUGGCCUUUAACUCCUGAUUCUCCUGCCUCCACUCUUUGGGUGCUGGGAUUACAGGCAUGAACCAUCACACCCAUUUUAUGUGGUUCCAGGGAUGGAACCCAGGGUCUUCUCUACCAAAGGAGCCAUGCACACCAAAACCAGGCACUGCGAUGCUUGCCCUAACCUCAGCAUCGGGAAGGUAGAGGCAGAAGGAUCAGGGUCAUCCUCAGUUACGUAGUAAGCCAGACGACGACCGGCGAGACCUUGUCUCAAAGAAACCAAACAACUAGCCAACAUCAGUAAGCCAUCUGUCUAUUCUUGUCUGUUGGCUGGCUAUGGUUAUUUCCAGAAAGGAAUAGAAGUGUGGAGAAAAAGUCACACAAUUGGUAGGUAGGACUUGGGUCUGCAGGACAUGAAAUUCCAGGCCACGCUGAAACUCCCACAGCACCCUGUGUUCCUAUCCAGUCUUCCGUCCACUGACUAACCUCACUCUGAUGACUGAGUAGAUAGGCUCGGCUCAGAUGUGGGCGCUGACUCAGCUGUGACCACCCUGGGCUAUAGGGACCCACAGCCAGGGAGGGGCUCUUGGUGGGCGUCUUUACCCCAUUGCCAGCGCAGUGCCUGGAACACGGUGGCAUUCUGCACAUAUCUGUUGGGUGACCGAACCAAAGGGUGGGGGAGGAUUGUGGGUUAGAGAUAAAGGUUGUAGGGCAGAGGUUUGGGGGAGGUUGUGACACGCAGCUAAAUCCAUGGCCCUGAAAGUCCUCGACAGGUGGCUGGGAGGCACCUUGGCCACCGAUUGUACAGAAACAGGUUACAUCUGAAGAGAUGGUUCAUCGCCUUAGCAUCUCAGCCUCGAUAAACGACCCAGACUGUGCUCACGCUAAUCUGCUCAGGAGACUGGGUACCCUUCUAGCACCCUGACACAAACAAAAUUAAACACCUCAUCCUAACAGAGGGUUCCCCCUUUCGUCUGUAUUAACCAGGUUUGCCUUCGACCCCUUUUGUCUCCUCCCUCACCAGAGGCUGGCCUUUGUCCCUCUGAGACACACAUCUCCUCCUUCUCUCCCUUAUUCCCUUCCCCUUCUCCCACAUCCUCCAGCUCCUGUCUUUGUCUCUUAUUUCCUGUCCUUCGUCCCUCUGGGGCAAAUAAAUCUCUUUUGUGCUAAGAACCUUGUGCUGAAUACCUGCCCCUUCGAGUCACAGCUCACAAAAGCUGGGAACCUAGAGCUGUGGAGGAGAUGUGAGGAGUGGCUCCAGAGUAGGAGGGGCCCUGCGGGAAGAGCAAUGCCGCUCAGAGCCGGGGGCCCCAAAGACCACCGAGAGACCAGAUCCGGUGCAAAAACAAAGAGUCUUUUUUU